This 366-nucleotide ribosomal RNA is filed under the name Abbottipoma abbotti. RNAcentral's name for it is "partial 12S ribosomal RNA". The record is from RNAcentral. Lineage: Eukaryota; Metazoa; Mollusca; Gastropoda; Littorinimorpha; Annulariidae.
UAUUUUAAAUUGUAAAUUUUUAAUACUUGAAUACUAUGAACAGUUGUUUAAAACUCAAAGAACUUGGCGGUAUCAUAGACUACUUAGGGGAACCUGUUUUUGAAUCGAUGAUCCUCGUAUUACCUUACCUUUUUUUGCGUUCAGUUUGUAUACCGUCGUCUUCAGUUAACGUCAGAGAUUAAAAUAGUUGUCGUUGUAAAAUUUUGUUUAUGAUGUCAGAUCAAGGUGCAGCUUAUAGAUUGGUUAAUAUGGGUUACAAUUAUUUAUUUAUAAUAUGAAUGGUUUUUUGAAAUUAUUAUUUGAAGGAGGACUUAAAAGUAAUUUAAUUUAGAUAUAUUUAAUGAAUAAAGCUCUUUGAUGUGUACA